This 59-nucleotide transfer RNA is filed under the name Flustra foliacea (greater hornwrack). Its description in RNAcentral is "tRNA-Leu". The record is from RNAcentral. Lineage: Eukaryota; Metazoa; Bryozoa; Gymnolaemata; Cheilostomatida; Flustridae.
GGUUGGUAAUUAAUUAGAUUUAAAAUUUAAUAGGCGUUAAAGAGAUUAACGGCCAACUU